AAGAUGGCAUCGAAAAGAUUGUCGAGCCAUACUUUUAAGAUUCUUAAUAUUUAAAAGUUUAAAACUGAAAAUAUUAAAAAGCUGCCCUGAUUUUUGAAGAACAGGGACUGCAUA
This is a regulatory RNA element of Caldicellulosiruptor owensensis OL, 114 nucleotides long. It matches the Rfam family "pan motif". The record is from Rfam. NCBI's taxonomy places the organism in Bacteria, Bacillati, Bacillota, Caldicellulosiruptorales, Caldicellulosiruptoraceae.